This 496-nucleotide ribosomal RNA is filed under the name uncultured bacterium. Its description in RNAcentral is "partial 16S ribosomal RNA". It matches the Rfam family "Bacterial small subunit ribosomal RNA", at positions 28 to 506 of the family's 1533-position model. The record is from RNAcentral.
GAUGAACGCUGGCGGCGUGCCUAAUACAUGCAAGUCGAGCGAACAGAUAAGGAGCUUGCUCCUUUGACGUUAGCGGCGGACGGGUGAGUAACACGUGGGUAACCUACCUAUAAGACUGGAAUAACUCCGGGAAACCGGGGCUAAUGCCGGAUAACAUUUAGAACCGCAUGGUUCUAAAGUGAAAGAUGGUUUUGCUAUCACUUAUAGAUGGACCCGCGCCGUAUUAGCUAGUUGGUAAGGUAACGGCUUACCAAGGCAACGAUACGUGGCCGACCUGAGAGGGUGAUCGGCCACACUGGAACUGAGACACGGUCCAGACUCCUACGGGAGGCAGCAGUAGGGAAUCUUCCGCAAUGGGCGAAAGCCUGACGGAGCAACGCCGCGUGAGUGAUGAAGGUCUUCGGAUCGUAAAACUCUGUUAUUAGGGAAGAACAAAUGUGUAAGUAACUGUGCACGUCUUGACGGUACCUAAUCAGAAAGCCACGGCUAACUACGU